UGCUUCUCCCUCCUGCCUUCUCUGUCCUGCCAGUUCAAGCGUCUAGACCUCCCCAAAUUUCCAUCUCUGUCUCUUGAACUCAGUGAGAUUACUGGGCUCUGCUUGGGUUUCCCUUUUUUGUCUCAGUCUGGAUUUUACCUGCAGGCAGAAAGCCUGGAAGAGGGAAGGACUCACCUCAUUUGUUCCCUCUUCUCCCGCACUGCCUGUUUCCCAAGGUCAGGACCCUAUCCAGGAUCAGUCAUCAUGUCUCCUUAGGCUCCUCUUGACUGUGGGAGUCCUCAGACUCUCCUUGUUUUUGAUGACCUUGACAGUCUUGAGGAGCACUUGUCAGGGUGCACUUCGAUGCUGGAGAGAGAAAAAGGAAGAGCAGCUCCUUCCUGUUCUUAUCAGCGUCACUCCAGCCUCAUUCAUCUCUGCAAUGGCUAUGUGCUCCUAUGGCUGCAGCUGAAUCAGUUGCUGCUGCCAACAUGCCCGGACCAGCUUCUUUUCGCCGUCAGACACCUGCACCAGAGAACAGAAACAUGGAAAAUGUCUCAUGUUACAAAGUCAGGAAUGAACACCACUCCUAGGACUUCAGUGCAGUGUUUCAUCUCAGCAAUAGCUAUGCUUAAUUGUACAUGGAGAUUCAGAACAGUGACUGGUCAUGUGCACAUGGCGAGCAACAAUCUUUCCCCACCCUAACAUAGUGGAAAGAAAUGAAGUGCGUCUACUAGAAGCUGUGGCUUGUGAAUCAGGACUUGAGGCAAUUUUCAUUUUUGAAACUCCCAACUGAAACCAAAAGGUGAAAGAAAUAUUUAGACUCAGAAUACAAGAUGUAGAAAAGACCUCAGAAAUCAUCUCAACUACCUUCUUCAUUUUCAAAUUGAG
Molecule: non-coding RNA, 867 nt
Organism: Vicugna pacos (alpaca)
Lineage: Eukaryota; Metazoa; Chordata; Mammalia; Artiodactyla; Camelidae
Source: RefSeq, a predicted model, not a curated record